CAAUAGCGUAUAUUAAAGUUGUUGCAGUUAAAAAGCUCGUAGUAGGAUUUCUGAUCGAGACAUCAGGUCGGGUCCGAGAGGAUCAUGUACUUUGAUUUUGUUUUGAUCAUCCUUGGGGAGAGCAUUUCUGGCAUUCAGUUGUCGGGAUUGGGAUCCUCAUCGUUUACUGUGAAAAAAUUAGAGUGUUCAAAGCAGGCCUCGGCCUCUGAAUACAUUAGCAUGGAAUAAUAAGAUAGGACUUUGGUGGUCUAUUUUGUUGGUUUGCACGCCAAAGUAAUGAUUAAUAGGGAUAGUUGGGGGUAUUCGUAUUCAAUUGUCAGAGGUGAAAUUCUUGGAUUUAUGGAAGACGAAAUACUGCGAAAGCAUUUACCAAGGAUGUUUUCAUUAA
RNAcentral lists this ribosomal RNA (388 nucleotides) under uncultured eukaryote. RNAcentral describes it as "partial 18S ribosomal RNA". It matches the Rfam family "Eukaryotic small subunit ribosomal RNA", at positions 592 to 976 of the family's 1831-position model. The record is from RNAcentral.